This is a small nuclear RNA of Cucurbita pepo subsp. pepo (vegetable marrow), 102 nucleotides long. NCBI's taxonomy places the organism in Eukaryota, Viridiplantae, Streptophyta, Magnoliopsida, Cucurbitales, Cucurbitaceae. The record is from RefSeq and is a predicted model, not a curated record.
AUAAACUUAGGGGACAUCCGAUAAAAUUGGAACGAUAAGAAAUGAUUAGCAUGGCCCCGUGCAAGGAUGGCAUACACAAAUCAAGAAAUUGUAUCAAAGUCA